RNAcentral lists this ribosomal RNA (460 nucleotides) under uncultured bacterium. RNAcentral describes it as "partial 16S ribosomal RNA". It matches the Rfam family "Bacterial small subunit ribosomal RNA", at positions 338 to 795 of the family's 1533-position model. The record is from RNAcentral.
CCUACGGGAGACAGCAGUGAGGAAUAUUGGUCAAUGGGCGAGAGCCUGAACCAGCCAAGCCGCGUGAGGGAAGACGGUCCUAUGGAUUGUAAACCUCUUUUGUCGAGGAGCAAAAAGGCCUCGUGAGGCCACAAGUGAGAGUACCCGAAGAAACAGCAUCGGCAAACUCAGUGCCAGCGGCCGCGUUAAUACGGGGGAUGCGAACUUUAUCCGGAUUUAUCGGGUUAAAAGGGUGCGUAGGCGGACUGGACUGUCAGCGGUAAAAUCGCGAGGCUAAACCUCUUUCCGCCGUUGAAACUGUCAGUCUUGAGUGCGCGAGAAGUAUGCGGAAUGCGUGGUGUAGCGGUGAAAUGCAUAGAUAUCACGAAGAACUCCGAUUGCGAAGGCAGCAUACUGGAGCCCGACUGACGCUGAGGCACGAAAGCGUGGGUAUCGAACAGGAUUAGAUACCCUAGUAGUC